Molecule: small nucleolar RNA, 74 nt
Organism: Misgurnus anguillicaudatus (oriental weatherfish)
Lineage: Eukaryota; Metazoa; Chordata; Actinopteri; Cypriniformes; Cobitidae
Product: small nucleolar RNA SNORD47
Source: RefSeq, a predicted model, not a curated record
AACCAAUGAUGUCACGAUUCUGCCAAAUGAAUCCGAUGAUUAUACCCAUAACCGUUCCAUUUAUAUCUGAGGUU